Molecule: ribosomal RNA, 525 nt
Filed under: uncultured bacterium
Lineage: Bacteria
Description: bacterial SSU rRNA
Rfam family: Archaeal small subunit ribosomal RNA
Source: RNAcentral
ACUGAAUAGAUACCCCGGUAGUCCCAGCUGUAAACGAUGCAGACUAGGUGUUUGGACGGCCACGUGCCGUUCUAGUGCCGCAGGGAAGCUGUUAAGUCUGCCGCCUGGGGAGUACGAUCGCAAGAUUGAAACUUAAAGGAAUUGGCGGGGGAGCACCACAAGGGGUGAAGCUUGCGGUUUAAUUGGAGUCAACGCCGGAAAUCUCACCGGGAGCGACAGCAGUAUGAAAGCCAGAUUGAAGGUCUUGCUAGACGAGCUGAGAGGAGGUGCAUGGCCGUCGCCAGUUCGUGCCGUGAGGUGUCCUGUUAAGUCAGGCAACGAUCGAGACCCGCGUCCUCUGUUGCAACCAGCUUUGUGCUGGGCACACUGAGGAGACCGCCACUGAUAAAGUGGAGGAAGGAGCGGGCCACGGCAGGUCAGUAUGCCCCGAAUCUCCCGGGCCACACGCGAGCUGCAAUGGCAAGUACAAUGGGUUCCGACCUCGAAAGGGGGAGGCAAUCUCGAAAGCUUGCCGUAGUUGGAAUU